GGGAAUUGAACCUGAAAUCUGGUUUUCAAACAAAUACAAGACCUCUAGCUUUGACAAAUAGGCUAAAGAGAAUGGAAUAACACCUUUGAAGUUGUUUUGGUACAAAAACAACCUUCGAAGUUCAGUUAAUGAUCCCAACCAUGAUGGGAUUUCUCCACUGAAGGUGUUGUUACCAAAGCUUAAAUAUUUCAGCCGUCGCAAAUUGGAUAACUAGACAGGUAAUCUGCCAUAAAAACUAUUGUUUGUGACAUAAAGAAGAGAAAGGAAUGACAAAUUUCCCAAGUGAGGUUGAAGGGUGCCUACGAGUCCCAACUGUUAGAGUUAUUAAUAAAAUAGUCAAAGCUAUUACUAAGUCAGUUAGCAGUUAAGCUAUUACUAAGUCCGUUAGCAGUUAGAAAGUUAGCUGUAAUGUCAGUAAGCUUUAGCUUACGUGCUUGUAUAAAUACAUGUGAGGUCUGCAUGUUUUAAGUGACCUAAUGAAAAUAAUUCUCUUCUUGAUUCUUUCAUUUUCUUAGUUUCUUGUAGUUUUACAUGGUAUCAGAUGUAAGUUUUUCCAGGCAUUUUUUCUUCUUCUUUCGUUAAUCCGCUGUGCAGUCUGCAUAGUCAAUAUGGCCUUCAAUUCUUCUGACGGAGCUAUUGACAGUCGGUUCUUUUCUACAAAGAGGAUUAGUGUUCUUCUUGACGAUAAUACCUAUUUACUGUGGCGUCAGCAGGUUCUCUUGGCUAUAAAAGCGCAUAAACUUCAAAACUUCUUGGACCCUCAACAAGAUCCUCCCACUCAGUUUCUUGCCGAUGGUAGUGGUGGUUUUCAUGAGAAUCCAGAGUUUGCACAUUUUGAGCAACAAGAUAGUGCAUUUGCAUCGUGGUUGUUAUCUUCUAUUAGCCAAACGGUGCUUCCUCAUCUUAUUGGUAUGGAUACCAGUGCCAAGAUUUGGAAUGCAGUUGUUACUUGUUACCUUGUUUGGUAGUAAAACCACCUCUAAACUGAUCUCCUGUCGAAGAGCUUUGCAUUCUCAACGCAAGGGCAACUUGAGCAUGAAGGAGUUCUUGAUGAAUGUUAAAAGUUGCUGUGAUAAUCUCGCUAGUUGCGGUGAAGUCAUCAGCGAGCAUGAGCAUGUUACUGCAAUACUCAAUGGUCUUCUUCCAGAAUAUAAACCUGUCAUCACCAUUGUUACAGCAAGUCAAGUGCCCUACACAGUACAAGGUGUAACUUCCAUGCUUCUCGAUACUGAAGCUCGACAGCAGGUGAUGAGUUGUAAAGUCUCCAGUUCUGCAAACUUGGUGUCUUACCAGUCUUCUGAGUCUUCCGAUACUACUGGUUCAAUACCUGCUUAUCGACAGUCAUCUGCAACUCGGGGACGUCGGUGAGGGCGUUCGUCCAACACGAGGAUUCAAUGUCAGCUAUGUGGGAAAGCUGGUCACCUUGUUGACCGUUGUUACUAUCGGCUCACUUGUCCAUACACGUCAGCUUAAAAUGGACUUGUUGAAUUAAAACACCGACAGGUAGUUGAAACCGGCCUGUCCAUGUUAGCUCAUCCAACCAUGCCUUUGAUGUUCUGGAAUGAAGCCUUUUGCAGUGCCGUGUUUCUGAUUAACAGAUUACCCUCCCAUCCCUUGGGUGAUAUAUCACUAUAUGAAAAAUUGUUUAAAACAAAACCAAAUUACUCUUUCCUUCGAACUUUUGGCUGCUUAUGCUUUCCUAAUCUUAGACCUUUCAAUAAAACAAAGCUACAGUUUAUAUCUAUUCCUUGUGUCUUUCUCGGCUAUUACCCAUUGUACAAAGGUUACAAAUGUAGAGACCCUAUUGGUAGAAUCUAUAUUACUCGUCAUGUCACAUUUAAUGAGGCCAUUUUUUCCUACAAAAUGCAUAGUUCAACAGUCAUCCCAUCUACUGCUGUUCCACAGGUCAAUACAAAACUUCUUGUCCUACAUCCUAGCACUGUAUCUUGUAAUAGCAUCCCACCUAAUGUUAUUUCUACUAAUCCCUCUUCAACACCCACUUCACAGUCCACCUAUCCUAUUUUAGCUCAAACAUCACCUGCUUCACCUACGUUAUCUAGAUCCUCUUCACCUCCACAAUUGCAACCCUCCCAAUCCGCCCCGAUCAACACUCAUUCCAUGAUCACCAGGAGUAAGGUUGGAAUUUUCAAGCCAAAGGCUUAUUUGAGCACGACAUCUUCUUCUCCUAGUGAUGUUUCCUCUAACAUACAUGCAACGAUGGCGUUUGAAUGCUGGCGAAUAGCGGUUCACAGUGAAUUGCAAGCUUUGGUUCGUAAUAAUAUGUGGACUCUUUGUUCUCUCCCUGAAAAUGGACGAGCAGUCGGGUACAAGUGGCUCUUUAAAAUUAAAAGGAAGGCUGAUGGGUCCAUCGACAGGUACAAAGCAAGAUUAGUUGCGAAAGGGUUCUCUCAACAUACAGGGCUUGACUUUCAUGACACAUUUAGUCCACUAGUUCAAGCUUCCACCAUUCGCACUAUUCUUGCGUUAGCUGUUAUGCAGGGGUAGGCAAUGCGUCAAGUUGACAUCAAUAACACCUUUCUUAAUGGUGAGCUUACUGAAGAAAUAUACAUAGAGCAACCCUCUGGUUUUGAAGUCUCAGGUGCCUCUGGUCAGCCACUUGUGUGCAAAUUGAAUACAGCACUCUAUGGCUUGCGACAAGCCCCUCGUGCAUUCGAGUGUCUACAGGGAAUUACCUGCUUCUCAUGGUUUAUUUCGAUGACAUUGUGCUCACUGGUAGUAGUGUUCAAGAUAUAGAUGCUGUGGUACAUCAUCUUCAUAACAAAUUUGCUCUUAAGGAUAUGGGAACUCUCAGUUUUUUUUUGAGAAUUGAUGUCCAACGUACGUCCCAAGGAAUGUUGCUCAAUCAGAAGAAGUAUGUCACUGAGCUUCUUCUCAAAACUGGUAUGAUCGGGGCCAGGGAUUUAAAUUGCGGUCGCGGUCGCGUUUUCGGUCGCAUUGCGUUUAUCGCGGUUGCGGACAUAACGGAUGCUAUUGCGGUCAUUGCAGGUAUCGCGGUCGUGAAUUUUACAUUACUUAUUGUGUAUUGCGGGUAUAGCGGGUUUCGGCAGUAGCGGUUUCGGACGGUGCCGUUACCGCUAUAUAACGGCCGCUAUUUCGGUAACGGACCGCUAUUUAAAUCCCUGAUCGGGGCAGCUUCUACACCGACACCCAUAGUAAGCACUCCCAAGUUAGUUGCUUCAGAUGGCAGUCCUAUUUUUCCAAAUGUUCAUUUGUACCGAAGUACAAUGGGUAUGCUUCAAUAUAUAUGUAUUACACAACCCGAUUUGUUGUUCUGUGUAAACAAGCUUAGCCAGUACAUAAGUUCCCCCAGUGUCACUCAUUGGAAAGCUGUCAAACGUGUUUUAAGGUAUCUGGCUGGCACCAUAGAUCAUGGUUUGUAUUUUGCAGCAGGUCCAUUAGAGCUGGUGUGUUACUCUGAUACUGACUGGGCCUCAUCCAUUGAAGAUCGACGGUCUACGUCGGGAUAUGUGGUAUACUUAGGAUCAAAUCCUGUUACCUGGUGCUCAAAGAAACAGUCGGUGGUAUCCAGGUCGUCUGCUGAAGCAGAGUAUCGUAGCCUAGCCAACUGUGUGUCUGAACUGCUGUGGAUUCAACAGCUGCUAAAUGAAGUUGGAGUACCUCUGUCUAAGUUGCCAAUCGUCUGGUGCGACAAUUCUUCUGCAGUUUCAGUAGCUGAAAAUCCCACGCAUCAUUCUAGGAUGAAGCAUGUGGAAAUAAAUCACCAUUUUGUUCGUGAGAAAGUUCUUGCUGGAAUCCUACAGGUCAAUUUUGUUCCCUUUGAUCAACAGAUUACAGAUGUCCUCACUAAACCAGUUACUCCUAAGCUGUUUUCAUCAUUUCGACAUGCUCUUCGAGUCUUGACGUUAAGUGAACUUAAUGAUAAAAAAUCAAACAUGCUAAGGGAAUGUUAGUUAUUAAUAAAAUAGUCAAAGCUGUUACUAAGUCAGUUAGCAGUUAAGCUGUUACUAAGUCAGUUAGCAGUUAGAAAGUUAGCUACAACGUUAGUCAGCUUUAGCUUACGUGCUUGUAUAAAUACAUGUGAGGUCUGCAUGUUUUAAGUGAUCUAAUGAAAACAAUUCUCUUCUUGAUUCUUUCAUUUUCUUAGUUUCUUGUAGUUUUACACCAACCCAGUAAGGUCUAGAGCUGUGACUCUACGGUGCUUGGAUCCACAACUUACACCAAACCAAUAGCAAACGGGGGAAGAGGCUGACCAAUUAGUUGUUAAGACAUUUUCAGGAUCAUGAUGAAUAACAUGAUCUCUUAGUGUUAGAAGAGUUGAUUGAUCUGUAAGUAUGGUGGUUAAUUUCAUAGAGAAAUUAGUAGGCAUAGAAAAAUGGAAGAUGAUAAGAAGAGCUAAGUUGAGGAAAGUAUUCCCUGCUUAUCGAGCUACCAACGAAGGCAGAACUGAAUGUUGUAAUUUAUUCUUGCAACAUUGCAAAUUCUUUGAAUGUGAUUUAGGUAGAAACUAUAGAAUUUAUUAUAGGAUGUGAUAAUAUGAUUAUGUAAUUAUUGCUUAAAAAACUUCUUUCUAAAUUUCAUAUAGUUGCACUAGUGCUAAGAUUACAACUUUUUUUAUUAAAUUAUUCUAGAUUAGUGAAAUUAUUAGACAACGUGAUAAUUUCUUAUCAGAUAGGAAGUGACAAGUGAGCAGUCACUUCCAAGAAUAUAAACAACUCAAUCACUCUCUUAACUAACGGUAUCAAACACUAAUUGUUGUUUCUAUUGACUAAAAGAAUUUUCAACCAAAAAUAUGUUGACUUAAAAUUAAAAUAAACCAUCAAAUUUCUUAGAACAUUCAAUGAGGUUGAAAGAUUUUAUUUUUAAUUUUUGUUAUUUUGGAAUAAUUUUUUUUCUUUAUAAUUUUACCAAAAAAUAUAUUUUAACUUUUUAUUUUUUUUAGUCAUUAAACUUACAUUGUUUGUCAAAUUAUCCCAAAAUAAAUGGAAAAAAUCAACGUUUGUUAACUUUGCUAAUGUGCCACAUGUGGAUUGUCACGGGAAUGUCAAGUUAGAAAUUAAUUCAUUUUUAAAAAUUUAAAAAUUUAGAAAAUAUUAUUAAUUUAUUUUUAAAAUACUAAAUUUAUUUAAAAAGUAUAAAAGUAUAAAAUUAUAAAAAAAUUUUUAUUUUUAAAAAUUAAUUAAUUGCUAACGUGGUACAUUAACUUUUUCAUUCAUUUUAGAUGAUUUGACAAACAAUACGAGUUUAAAAGUUAAAAGUGAUGGAAAAUUAAAUAAAAGGCUAAAAUGAAUUUUUAAAAAAAUAAAUUUGAAGCGCCAAAAAAUUCAUCAUCCUUUUUUUUUGUCCUAUCAAUACGCUUAACAACAUGCCACCAUAAUUUUGAUUUUCUCUGGUAAGUCUGUAUGCCAUAGGUUUUUUAGGAAAGCUUUGUUUGUAAUUUCAUUAGUAUCAUCAUCUAGACUAGAGGUCUCUUUCAGUAGCCUUCUGUAACCACUCCUCACAAUAUACUCUCUUGUUACCUCCCCAUUCCAUACCCUAUUUUCCUCUCGUGGAUGUCUCGCUAGAGGAAUUUGCAAGAUAGUUUCUACCUCUUCCCCUGUAAACAAAGAGGUAACAAGAUCCUCCUUCCUUUGUCUCAGAUUAGAUUCACUCAGCUCUUCCACCUUAAUUAUAUUGUGAUCUCAAACUAACUCCUGGAUUUUUUUAUCCUUCAACCCAAGGAUCCGAGCAUCCUGCCACUCUCCAAGCCAUUCCAUCCUAUAGUAGUUGCUUCGUCGCCCAUAAGCUCCUCCAAGUAUAAAAAGGAUAAUUACCUAACUUUGGUUGCAUGAACUCGACAUUGGGGAAUAUUUAGCUUUUAAAGUUCUAGCUAAUAACAAAUCAUGAUAAUUCAUUAAACUCCAACCCUAUUUUGCAAAGGCUAAAUUCAACUUGGAUAAAUUUUUAAACCUUAUUCCCCCAUCUUCAUUUAGUUCACACAAUUUAUUCCAAUUGCAUCAAUGAAUCCCCCUCUUUCCUUUUUGUUUCUGCCACCAAAAUCGAUUUAUAACCUGUUCCAUGUCAUGACAUAAAGAAUUCAGUGGUAAAAAACAAAACGUAGCAUAAGUCGGAAUUGAUUGCAGUACACUCUUAAUAAAAAAACUUCCUUCCCUCCCUAGGGAAGUAUUUUAACACACCAAUUAUUUGUUCGUUUUGCAAUCCUAUCUUUCAAGCCCUGAAAGGUCCUUCAUUUUUGCCUCCCCACAACAUUCAAGAGCCCCAAAGACUUCUCUGGAUCCAUCAAACAACGCACCCUUAAUAAUUGAGCUACUGAGUCCUUUGCAUAUGUAGAAUUAUUUGAACUAAAAAAUAGUGUUGAUUUCUCUAAGUUGAUACUUUGCCCUGAAUAUUCUUCAUACUUCUGCAAAAUCCUUCUAAUCUCAUUUGCUCGCUUUUCUGUAUCUUCACCAAACAAAAUAUAGUCAUUCGCAAAAAGCAAAUGAGUAAUCUCAAGACCCUUUCUACAUACCUUGACACCUUUUGUUCUCCCCUCCCCUUUCACCAUCCUCAUCAAUGUCAACAACCCCUCUCCACAAAUCAAGAAUAGAUAAGGACUUAGCGGAUCCCCUUGUCUAAGGUUAUAAUCUCCUUAACUUGGACUAGACGUUAUGACCAUAUUAAAAAGGCUACAUUAGACUCCAAAAUGACUAAACAGACUAUUUGACCUUUGAAAAUCCUUAACACACAACUAGUUUUAAAGAAAAUUGGUAUUGGUGAUCCAAGUUAGAUAAAACAUUUGUUUAUUGGGUUUUCUUACAAAAAAAAACCCUAAUUUUUUUUCUAACUUUAGAAAAGUCAUCACCCUUGAAAUUAAUUAACAUUAAAACAUUCAUUCAAUUAGGCCAUCUUUACUUAGAUUCUAUUUUAUUAUUGUUGUCAUGUUUUAGAAAACUAAUUGUUUUGAUAUUUUGUUUCACAAAAAUCAAAUCUUUAAAAUGUAGUGGAAAACUAUUAUUCAUAUCAUUUUAGAAAUCCAAUUGCCUUAUUGAUUUGUUUUUCAAAGCAGUUAAUUUGUAACACAAUGAAAAAUUGGUGAUCAAUGCCAAUUUUACUUAAGCCAUAUAUCAUGCAAUUAUUAGUUAUUAAACUUCAGUAAUAUAUGCAUGCACAAAAUCUCCCUCCCCUAAAAAAUAAUCAAGCCAUAGACUAGAGGAGUUCAUGGGCCGGGCCGGGCUCAAAAAAAUUUUGACCUGUCCUAAAAUAUGGGCUUAAAAUUUUGAUCCAGGUCCUACCUGAGAAAAAAUUUCUAAGCUCGGCCCAACCCAUUUUUAAUAAACAUCAAAAAAUUAUUUAAAAAAUAAAAAGUAUUUUAAAAUUUCUAAAAAAUAUAUAUAUUUAUUAUAUCGGGCCAAGCCGAGCUCGAGCCUAGGCCAAAAAAGUGGUACCCAAAGCCCAAUCUAUUUUCUAAACCAACUUUUUUUUAUCUAAACUCAUAUUUUAAAUCUAUAUAUUUACCUGAAUUCUCUCAUAUUUCGGGCGAAUCGUCCUGACAUGAGCACCUCUAGCUUUUAAGGACUUGAUUUUCAAUUUUUAACUUUUCCUUUGUUUUUCUUUCGUUCUGUUUAUAUGUCAGGUCUCCAAGAUGCCCUCCUUAUUUGGCUCUAACCCUUCAUCCUCCGAUCCUGCAAACGACACCGUGCCUUCCCCUUCCUCUUCUUGUUCCUCCUCCUCCUCUCCGGACAUGUGGAAUUACUUUUUUAUCCCUAUCCUCCUCCACCUCACCAAAAAACUCUCCCUUGCUAAAGCUCAAACCUCAACUGGACUCCUCCUCCCGAGUCAACGCGGCGACGGCUCGGCCGAUGAUUCACUAAUUUCCUUUUCGAGGUGCGCGAAUGCUGACCCGAAGCUAUAUUAUCGGCCUGUGAUUGGGAUACUGAGUCAUCCAGUAGGCGGCGCGUCGGGGGGCCGUUCCUACAUAGUUGCGUCGUACGUGAAGUUCGUGGAAGCGGCCGGGGGUCGAGUCAUUCCUCUUAUUUAUAAUGAGCCGGAAGAGAUUCUUUUCCAGGUAAUAAUCAUGAUGUUCAUUUCCUUGUAAAAAUGCUGAAUUUUGACUUUGAAUAUUUGCGUGUGUGUGUGUUUUUUAAAAUUCGGUUAAAAAAAAUGGACAGUCGUGAAUCUAUUUUUGGAAAGAAAAAUUCCUGAUUUAGAAUCUUAAAUAACUUUGAUACUGUGAAAUUUGAUACUGUGAAUUUUUAAUAUUUUGUUUCAUAAUAAGUUUUUCCUCUUAAUUAAAUGUAAGAAUAUAAAAAUGCUUGCUAUUCCCGCAUUUCAAAAAAUUCUCUCGUUUUUGUUAAAUCAUAAAAUUAGGAUACUACCAGUUGUUGCAAUCUCCUUACUGUCUAUGCAAAGGAUAGAAUUUUAGCUUAGUUGCAUUUUUGUGGAUAUUCUUUAGUACCUUAAUAUUUGAAAUGAUAUUUUGAUUGCAUAUGCAUAUGCAUAUGCAUAUGCCUUUCAUUCCCUUGCUUUUGAUUUGCUACGAUUAGACAGUGGUAUGAUGCUAUGAUACCCGCUUUAGCAUAGUUGUUGCCUUCCUUUGCCAAAAGCCUGUCACCUUGCUAAGUGUCUUCUCCACCUUCGUAUUGCAGAAGCUUGAAUUGGUUAAUGGCGUGCUUUUACCAGGAGGGCGGUCUAAAUCCGGCUUGUACUAUGAUAUUGCUGAAAAGAUUUUCAAGGUAAUUUAUAUUUAUAUUUGUUUGUUUCUUGAUUUUAUGAAAUUCACAUGAAACUAACAAAAAAAUAUAGGCAAGAGAUUGGUGUUAGCAUGCAAGUCUUUUGUUUCUUCAACUUAUGCUUCAAAUGUUUUUAUAUUUCCAAUUUUCCAUGGGUUGCAUAGAAAACUUUUAUUCUUUGUGUUUUUGCAGAAAGUUAUAGAGAAGAACGAUAGGGGAGAUCAUUUCCCGUUAUAUGCCAUUUGUUUGGGUUUUGAACUUUUAACAAUGAUUAUCAGCGAAGUAAGCACCUCACAUUAUCUGACAUUUUUUUUCUGUUUCCUUUUUAAAAAAAAAAGAAAAAAGAAAAACAAUUUAAUUUUCUUCAGGCUUUUAUCUGUUUAUAUGGCUUUUUUAUAUGGCUUUUCUUGAUGUAGUUAACUUUUGUUCACUAUUGUGGACUUUCUCUACUAAUAUUCAUUCAUGCGUCAUGGCAGAAUGACCAAAUGAGACGUUUUUAAAUUUCUUGAUUUAAGGAACUCUAUAAUUUCCAUUUGUGAGAGAUUACUGUUGGCCUAACAUGGCUAAAUAAUGGCAAUUCCUGCAUGUUCACCGUAUUGUGGAAACUGCAGUAUUUGAUCCGUUAGGAUGGCAUGGUUACCUUGUUUGUGGCAUCCAAACCAAUGGUUGACCUUGCUGGAAAACAUUUUCUAAUGGAUUUGAAAUCUCAAAAUCUUAUCUACUGGUUCUUUAGAAAUCACUUCAUUUCAAGUUAGCUUAAACCUACCCAUGUCUACUGUAUCCAAUAACUUAUUUUACUUAAGGAUUUUCUUUGUUGAAUUAUAAAAAAUUUGACAAAAUCUUAUUUUAAUGAAUACAUACUUUUUUUCUUCUUGCUGAUAGUGUUAACAUUAAUGGGAGACAACAUUAAUGGCAAACAAUACAAAGUGGUGCAAGUUUAGCACCCUAAAGUUGACUUUGAAAAAGUGGCAUGGGAUAAUUUUUUUUGGUCCUUGAGAUAAUGGGCUAUUUAUUGUUUGGUCCUUAAACCUCAACUAUAAAUAAGCCUUUUCAUUUCUUAUUUCAAUUCAUCCCAACCAAUCUUUCUCUCUUAGUUUUCUCUCUUCUCCCAUUUGAGAAUUCUUAAGGAAUUCUAUUUGUUUGUAAUACUUUGAAGAUAGUAAAGUUAUCAUCUGGUGUUAGUGCCCGAGGACGUAGGUAUAAUUUACCGAACCUCGUUAAAACUCUUGUGUUCUUUCUUGUCCUAUUUUUCUUUCAAUAUUUGAGGGUAUAAUAGUAGUAUUUAAUUGUGCUAUUAAAUUACUAUAGAAGGGAUAUUCUGUCUAAGGAAAGACUUGGUAUUUAAGAGAUCCAUGUGAUCCACCUCUCUUUCCUGGGAAUUGAACUUUGUGUGAUUUUUUAGUACAAUAAUUUACACGUUUUCGACCCUAUUGGAACAACAAGUGGUAUCAAGAGCCGAAGGUUAAUCGUAGUAUGCUCUGUGGUUGCAGUUUAAACUGAUCUUCCACAUCAGAAAAGAUUUCCUUAGGUAUAUUGAAAGAUUAUGGAGAAAACGGUCGGUGUAGGAGCUUCAACAUCGUCCAUGUGGACAAGACCGACAAUUGCAAAUGCAAGAUUGGCCGUGGAGAUCUUUGAUGGCACGGGCCAUUUUGGUAUGUGGCAAAGUGAGGUUCUAGAUGCCCUUUUUCAGCAGGGUCUAGACAUUGCCAUUGAUGAAGAGAAACCAGAUGAUGUACAGGAGAAAGAUUGGAAGGCGAUCAAUCGGUUGGCAUGUGGCACAAUUCGAUCAUGCCUUUCUCGAGAGCAGAGGUAUGCUUUUUCAAAGGAGACUUCUGCAAAUAAGUUGUGGGUGGCACUUGAAGAAAAAUUUUUGAAGAAAAACAGUCAAAAUAAGCUCCACUUGAAGAAAAGACUGUUUCGCUUCACAUACGUCCCAAGUACCACAAUGAAUGAUCACAUCACCAAAUUCAAUCAGUUAGUCACUGAUUUGCUGAAUAUGGAUGAGACAUUCAAAGAUGAAGAUUUGGCUUUGAUGCUGUUGGGGUCACUUCCUGAGGAGUUUGAGUUCCUAGAAACUACUCUACUUCAUGGCAGGAGUGAUAUAUCUCUGAGCGAAGUCUGUGCGGCCUUAUACAGUUGUGAACAGAGAAAGAAGGACAAACAGAAAAACUCAAUCAGAGAUACAGAAGCUUUAGUAGUCCGAGGUCGUUCAUACACUCGGAAGAAAACUCAAAAGGGGAGAUCAAAGUCAAAGUCCAGACUCGGGAAAGAUGAAUGUGCUUUUUGUCAUGAGAAAGGCCACUGGAAGAAAAAUUGUCCAAAGCUGAAGAAUAAGGGAAAAGCUGCUGUAGAUGCUUGUGUUGCUAAGCAUGAUACUAGUGACUCUGAACUAUCACUGGUUGCAUCAUCAUCGUCGUUCCAUUCAGAUGAGUUGAUAUUGGAUUCGGGUUGUACCUAUCAUAUGUCCCCUAACCGGGAGUGGUUCUCUGAUUUAGUAGAACUAAAUGGAGGAGUUGUUUAUAUGGGCAAUGACAAUGCUUGUAAAACUGUUGGAAUAGGUUCAAUCCAAUUAAAGAAUCAAGAUGGAUCAACCAGAGUUCUGACUGAUGUUCGGUACGUGCCCAGUUUGAAGAAAAAUCUCAUCUCAUUGGGAGCAUUGAAAUCCAAUGGUUCAGUUGUUACUAUGAGAGAUGAGAUUUUGAAAGUGACAUCUGGCGCACUUGUGAUAUUGAAGGGCAUCAGGAAAAAUAACUUGUAUUACUACCAAGGUAGUACAGUUAUUAGAGCAGUCGCUACAGCUUCCGGUAACAAAGAAUUGGACUCAAUGCAGUUGUGGCAUAUGAAGUUGGGACAUGCCAGCGAAAAAUCCUUGCAAAUUCUGGCAAAGCAAGGAUUGUUGAAAGGUGCAAAGGCUUGCAAAUUAAAAUUUUGCGAGCAUUGUGUUCUGGGAAAGCAAAAGAGAGUGAAAUUCGGUACUGCUAUCCAUAAUACAAAAGGUAUUUUGGAAUAUGUUCACUCAGAUGUGUGGGGGCCUUCCAAGACACCUUCCUUGGGAGGAAAACACUACUUUGUUACUUUUGUUGAUGACUUUUUCAGAAGAGUUUGGGUGUAUACCAUGAGAACUAAGGAUGAAGUGUUUAGAGUUUUUCUUAAAUGGAAAACUAUGAUCGAAAACCAGACUAGCAAGAAAAUCAAGCGGCUUAGGACGGACAAUGGAGGGGAAUAUAAAAGUGAUCCGUUCUUCAAUGUGUGCCAAGAGUAUGGUAUUGUUCGACACUUCACAGUUAGGGAUACACCACAGCAGAAUGGAUUGGCAGAGCGUAUGAAUCGAACAUUGCUGGAGAAAGUUCAAUGUAUGUUGUCCAAUGCUGGAUUGGGCAAGCAAUUUUGGGCUGAGGCUGUGACAUACGCUGGCCAUCUUGUUAAUCGUUUGCCAUCAUCUGCAUUAGAAAGAAAAACUCCUAUGGAGGUAUGGUCUGGAAAACCGGCUACAGAUUAUGAUUCCUUACAUGUGUUUGGAACCACUGCAUAUUACCAUGUGAAGGAGUCAAAGUUAGAUCCGAGGGCAAAGAAAGCUCUCUUUAUGGGAAUCACUUUUGGAGUGAAGGGAUUUCGUCUUUGGUGCUUAAGCACAAAGAAAAUGAUCUGUAGCAGAGAUGUUACCUUUGAUGAAUCUGCCACAUUGAAAAAGGUAGCAGAUAAAGAUAUUCAGACGAGCAAUACUCCACAGCAGGUGGAGUGUACUCCAAAACAGGUGGAGUUUGAGCAGAUGGGGAUUUGCCCAGUUAAUAAGUCUAAUUCUCCAGCCACAAUGGAGGAAUUAGAGGUUGAAGAGGUUCUGACCCAAGAACCACUAAGUACACCAGAACCAGUUGCAGUUGUAAGGCCACGGAGAGAAAUUCGUAAACCUGCUCGAUUUACUGAUAUGGUGGCCUACGCCCUUCCCGUUGUUGAUGAUAUUCCUAUCACUUAUCAAGAAGCAAUGCAAAGCUUAGAAAGUGAUAAAUGGAAAAGCGCCAUGGAUGAUGAAAUGCAGUAUCUCCGGAAGAACAAUACUUGGGAGUUGGCGUAAUUACCGAAAGGUAAAAGGGCAAUCGGAUGCAAGUGGGUAUUCGCAAAGAAAGAUGGAUCUCCUAGCAAGAAGGAUAUUCGCUAUAAGGCAAGAUUGGUAGCUAAAGGCUACGCUCAGAAGGAGGGAAUUGACUACAAUGAUAUAUUUUCCCCUGUUGUGAAGCAUUCCUCCAUUAGAAUUUUGUUGGCUUUGGUAGCACAGUUGAAUUUGGAGCUAGCUCAACUUGAUGUUAAGACGGCUUUCUUGCAUGGUGAGUUAGAAGAGGAGAUCUAUAUGACUCAGCCCGAAGGAUACACAGAUGCUGGUGGUAGAAAUUGGGUUUGUAAGCUGAACAAAUCGCUAUAUGGAUUGAAGCAAUCCCCGAGGCAGUGGUACAAGCGAUUUGAUAGCUUUAUGAGAAGGCAGAAGUACACAAGAAGCAAAUAUGACAAUUGUGUAUAUUUGCAGAAGCUGCAUGACGAAUCUUUCAUUUAUCUACUCUUGUAUGUUGAUGAUAUGUUAAUCGCUUCGAAGAGCCAAAAUGAGAUAGAUAAGCUGAAGGCUCAGUUGAAUCAAGAGUUCGAGAUGAAAGAUCUAGGUGAGGCCAAGAAGAUUCUCGGCAUGGAGAUAAGUAGAGAUAGACCGAGAGGCAAGCUCUGUUUAAAUCAGAAGCAAUAUCUGAAAAAGGUAUUACAAUGUUUUGGUGUAAAUGAAAACACAAAACAUGUAAGUACCCCACUUGCUUCUCAUUUGAAACUUAGUGCUCAAUUAUCUUCGAAGACUGAAGAUGAAAGAGAAUAUAUGGCGAAAGUCCCAUAUGCUAAUGCAGUUGGGAGUUUGAUGUAUGCGAUGGUGUGUACGAGGCCUGAUAUUUCACAAGCUGUUGGAGUUGUGAGCAGGUAUAUGCAUGAUCCUGGAAAAGGACAUUGGCAAGCAGUGAAAUGGAUUCUACAGUAUCUUCGAAAAACCGUAGAUGUUGGUUUAAUUUUUGAACAGGAUGAAGCACUUGGUCAGUUUGUAGUUGGAUAUGUUGAUUCCGACUUUGCUGGUGAUUUAGAUAAACGUCGUUCAACUACGGGGUAUCUGUUUACUCUUGCGAAAGCCUCAGUGAGUUGGAAGUCUACCUUACAGUCUACAGUAGUUGUGUCUACUACAGAGGCAGAAUAUAUGGCAGUUACAGAAGCUGUUAAGGAGGCUAUUUGGCUUAAUGGAUUGUUGAAAGACUUAGGAGUUGUUCAAAGUCACAUAAGUUUAUAUUGUGACAGUCAGAGCGCUAUUCAUUUAGCGAAAAAUCAAGUCUAUCAUUCAAAAACCAAGCAUAUCGACGUAAGAUAUCACUUUGUGCGGGAAGUCUUUGAAAAAGGAAAAAUUCUACUUCAGAAGAUUCCGACAGCAGAUAAUCUCGCAGAUAUGAUGACCAAGGUGGUAACAACAAUCAAGUUUAAUCAUUGUUUGAACUUGAUUAACAUCCUAAGAAUUUGAGCACCUUCAGGUGUAUGGCGCUCGAGAGUGCAUUUGUAGGCACUACAAAAGAUAGCUUUAUCGAAUUUGGGGAGUUGAAGGAAGUGUGUGAAGAUGUGAUUAUCCUAAUCAAAUCUUCAAGGUGGAGAUUGUUAACAUUAAUGGGAGACAAUAUUAAUGGCAAACAAUACAAAGUGGUGCAAGUUUAGCACCCUAAAGUUGACUUUGAAAAAGUGGCAUGAGAUAAUUUUUUUGGUCCUUGAGAUAAUGGGCUAUUUAUUGUUUGGUCCUUUAACCUCAACUAUAAAUAGGCCUUCUCAUUUCUCAUUUCAAUUCAUCCCAACCAAUCUUUCUCUCUUAGUUUUCUCUCUUCUCCCAUUUGAGAAUUCUUAAGGAAUUCUAUUUGUUUGUAAUACUUUGAAGAUAGUAAAGUUAUCAUCUAGUGUUAGUGCCCGAGGACGUAGGUAUAAUUUACCGAACCUCGUUAAAACUCUUGUGUUCUUUCUUGUCCUAUUUUUCUUUCAAUAUUUGAGGGUAUAAUAGUAGUAUUUAAUUGUGCUAUUAAAUUACUAUAGAAGAGAUAUUCUGUCUAAGGAAAGACUUGGUAUUUAAGAGAUCCAUGUGAUCCACCUCUCUUUCCUGGGAAUUGAACUUUGUGUGAUUUUUUAGUACAAUAAUUUACACGCUUCCGACCCUAUUGGAACAACAGAUAGGACAAAAAAAUUCUUGAACGAUUUUCUGCAUUAAAUCGGGCCUCUAGUCUCCAAUUUGUGGAAAAUGUUAAUAUUGAAGGAACAGUAUUUCAAAGGUGCAAAACCUUUAUUACCUUUCAUGGUACAUUAGUAUUGUUUGAUUUUGGUGCCAUUUUUCUAUUGAUGCUUUUGCUCAGAUUUUACAUUAUUAUCCUUGGAGGAUUAAGUAUUUUAUAUUUCAAAUAUGUUUUGCUGGUCAGGCAUUAGAUGAUUUAUAGGAAAGUUCACAACAGUUAACGUGUUGAAGUAACGAAAGCCUCUCUGUAUGCGCUGCUAAUAAGGGAAAGAGUCUUGUAAUACAUAUGCAGUUUAUGUUCUGUCAGACUGAUCUCUCCAUUUCACUAUUUGAAUAAGAACUUUGUUGCAUGAGGAUAGAGAAAAGGAAGUCAACUAGUUGCUUGAGAUUUCCUGAAGUUGUUCUUCAGGUUAAAUGAUGACCAUAGCAUAAUAUUUGGUGUGAAACUUUGGUACUAUGGGCUUACCACUUUUCUUGUUAGCUUUUGCUUGCACCAUAGGCACAUGGCAAUGAAUUGGUAUGGUAACCAGACUUCACAUGAAGCUUUUAGUGUAGACCAUAAACAAGUUUAACACUUAAAUAGGAAGAGAAUAGAUGUGUGCUUGUUUAGCUUCCUGAUUAGUGUCAUUGAAUUUGUUCUUAGUUGAUUGAGGAGAGUGUAAUAAACCCUUCUCUGAACUUCAGAGUUACACCUUUGAUAAAUAGCAAUAGCUGAGCACAGCAAUAAACAUUAAUUGCCUGUUUGCUUUAUCAUCAAAAGGCUUUAUGAAUGUUGUAGGUAUAUCCAUUUAUAAUAUCUAACCUUUCAAUCAGUAGUAAAAAUGAGGUGAUUUUAAGCUGAUAAUUUGUAGUUUGGUCCAAGUUAGUAGCAGAACAAUAUUGUCAUAAACUUUCUACUUAGCCCAACCUGGUUGACAUCUUUUAUUCGAGAGCUUUUCUUAUAGUCAGUGUAAUUAUAUGUUCAUUGCUCCAGUCAGUGCCACACUUCUACAGCUUGAUAGUUAUUCUCUUUUGCCAGAUUUCCUCCAAAUUUGCUGCAAAAGCUUGGCACAGAUCGCCUAGUCAUGCAAAACCAUUGUGUGAGUUUCAUGGCUCCUUUCAUUUAUAUUUUAAAUUAGUUGCACGUGUAAGUGUUUGUCUUUUGCUUCUCUAGUAUGUCCGCUUUGGAUCAUUCCUAAAACCUUGAACUGAUAAUGAAGGAUCUAAAUUCUGAUUUAUUCAAUGUUUUCAUUUUUUUUUCAAUUUUUGUUGCCACUGGUUGCCUGUUUCCUCUAUUUGGCACUUUUAACAGCUUCCUACUUGUUAGCUUGUGCAGAUUAUUAUUUGAGAGAUGAAAUGUAUUUUAAUGCACAGUAAAUUGUUCAUGCGUUCUGUUCUCCUAAUAUGUAAUUUGAUUUCCUUGAACCUCAUUCUUGGUCUCUAAAAGCCUAACUUAGAAGAAAACUCAACAGGCAAGAUGUCGUGCUAAGAGUAGAGACCUGUCAAAGAAGAAAAAUGCUAAUAUUUCUUCAGAGUUAAGGAUAAUAUAUCCCUAUUCAAAAGUUAUCUUUCUUUCAUGUGCGUAUUAAGAGAAUCCUUGCCGCCCUCCUUUGUGGCACAUUGUCUGUGUUAUGUUUCUAUGUACAAGCUAAUUAGCAUUGCCUAAAAUCAAUGUCUAAUUGUAACAGUGGGGCAUUUCACCAGAGAAGCUUCAAAAUACUCCAAAUCUGUCCAGAUUCUUCAAGAUCUUAACAACAAGCACAGAUAAAAAUAACAAGGUUCUGAAUCUUACAAUCCCUAUGCCAUAGGAAGUGUCUUAACUUGAUUUAUCUCAUUACAUUUUAUGGCUGCUGUAAAUGUCCUUAUUUCUAUUUAAGUGUUAAUAACAGGUAUAUGUCUCCACUGCACAAGCACAUCGCUAUCCUGUCACUGCCUUCCAGUGGCAUCCAGAGGUACCUCUUUUAGUGCUUUCUGAUCAUCGUCAUGUUUAUGCCUCAGUACAGUUUGGCAUGGCAAUUUUAAUUUUUCUUGUUAAAUAAUAAUCAUAUCAAUGACCACUACAAGGAAUUGGUGUCCUUUUUUUCCCUAUUAACUUCUUUGUGUAUCUCUGCUUCUGUUUCUCUUACUCCUUUUAAUUUUGUUUGCAAAACUGUAGUGUUAUUCUAUGAUCCACUAAUACACUCCAUUUCAUUAUGAAUAGUCUGACCAUAUAUUUUGCAGAAAAAUGCUUUUGAAUCGGGCUUGUCUAUGAUUCCACACUCAGACGACGCCAUUGAAGUGACACAACAUGUUGCAAACUUUUUCAUCAGGUUAGGAAUGUUAAGUAAGGAAGUUAUUAAUAGUUCUCUAUAUUCUUACAAUUUAGUCAACGACAAACUGAGCGAAUGUUAUAUUCGAGUGAGACACAAUCUUGCUCUUCAGCAUAUUAUUUGGGUUUUGGGCAGCUGUUCCUAUGUGGAUAUGCUUUGCUUCGUCCUAGAGCAUAUGUAAGGAAGAAAUGUUUAAAGGAACUUAGAUAAAUUUUAGGAUAUAAACAAUAUAAGAAUAUAAAUAGUUUAGCAUGAAAGGAGAAGGAAAGGAAAUAGGCAAAAUUCAUUUUCAGCAUGCUAUACUACAAGUAGUUUUUCUGGCUGAGAAUGAAAUGCCCGUGGUUUUAUGAAUAUAAGAAAGAGGAAAGGAAAGAAAAUGCGUAUUUCUAAUUAUGUGACAGACUAGAGGUGAGGUAUUUGUGUUCGCGGCAUAAGAAUUUGAGUUCAAACCCUAACAUUGUUUCGCCCUACCAAAUUAUAAAAAAUAAAUACCAUCUCUUUCCUUCGUCUGUUUGGAAGAUGAGGUAAUUGAACUUUUCUUUUUUCUGGUACAGAGAGGCUAGGAGAUCACUGAAUAGGCCAGCUGCUCAAAAAGUGCGUGACAGCCUUAUUUAUAAUUACAGGCCCAAGUAUUAUGGGAAAGCUGGGUAAGCUGAUAUCAAUCCUUUUGAGUUUUGACACUAUUAGGACACCAUCCUCUUGAAUGUAAGCUGAUUGACAUGGUUGUGAAUUUGAAUGCUGUAGGAAGGGUUUCGAUCAGGUCUACAUCUUUACACAACGUCAAGCUCGAAAUUGAUAGAGUUGCGGCCGUGUACAUAGUUAAAGAUGUAUGUGGUUGGAUGUAUGUAUAUUGUUGACGCUGUAUUUGCAUUGUGAUUUGUAUCUGAUUGCUCUCUUAAUUUAUAUAAGCUACGGACUGGAUGCUUGCCAAUGAGGUGUAUGAGUAGUUAUUGUUGAUGAACAAAGUUUGCAAUGCUUAUUCUUAUUAGCUCAAAUUCUAAAAAUGAUAAUGAUUAAAGUAUAAUCUGUUACUUGUGUUAUAAAUAAGCUUGAAUACUUUACCAUAGAAAUAGGGUUUAAGCUUAAAAAUACAUUCUUUUUGUGUGAGAUAAAUAUAAAAAGAACUGGAUUUGUAUUUGAUGCGGUUUAUGACAUGCUAUUGAAAAUAAGUGUAAAUUACAUAAAUGUCAAUCGACUAUUAUAAUUUUUGUUAGAUUAUUCGAAUUUAAAAAGUUUCAAAAUAAUCAUUUAAUUUAUUAAAUUUAUUAUAUCCAAAACUGUUAUAAAUUAGUAACAGUCGAAUGGUGUGUUGUUAACUUAAUGAUAUGUUUUUUUAACCCAUUAACUUUUUUUCACAUUAUUUCCAUGUCAUAUUAUAAUUUAAAAAAAAAACUAAUUUAAACUCCAAAAUUCCAAUAUGACAUGGAAAUGUGGAAUAAAAUUAAUGAUUAAAAAGACAUAUCGUUAACAGCCACGUCAGCAGAUUAUUAGUAAUUUAACAGUUUUGAACUUAAAAAAAAUGAUUUUGAUAGUCUGAUAAUCAUUUUAUAAUUUUUAAAAAUCAAAUAAUUUAAAUAUAUAUAUAAUAAUCGGAUAGCCAUUUAUUAUGUAGUUUGCCAAAGUAUUUUAUCAAUUGGAAGAUGAAGCAGUAAACCAAUAAAUAUGUUGAAUAGUCUCCAAUUAAACCAUUUAAGAUAUAAAUCCCAAUAAGUUCAAUUAAUGGCUCUAAUCAACUUUACAAGAAAUAGUUCUUGACAAUUUGAAGGGUGAAUAAUGAAUUUUCAGAACUCUUUAAAGAAAAUCGAGAAGAAAACUACUUUUAAGAAUCAGAAGAAAAAAAUCUUACACAAAAAAACUAACUCUAAACACCUAAAGUACAUCUAAAUAAAACUCUAAUUAAUCUAAAUAGGGGUGAAGCCAUAAAUUUUUUAGGGAGCCAAAAUUAAAUUGUAAUUUCUACAAUAGUAAAAAUGUAAUUUCACCAUUUUAAUAACUUAUAUCUUUAUAAUUUUUAAAGGGUUAAAUCAAAUUUUUAUUAUUUUUAGGGGUCAUAAAGUGUAAUUUUACAUUUAUUAAUUUAAAUUUUUUAAAAUUUUAAAGGGUCUAAAUGAUUUUUUUUUUCAUUUUAAGGGAGUCAAUGCCUUGUCAUCUCCUAGCUAGCGUUUGAAUCUAAAUAAAAAAUAGUUUUAAACUAAAUUUUCUUAUUUAACUCAAAAUACUUGGCCUGCAAUAAUUUUUCUUGACAAAAAGAUCCUCCAAAUAUUAUUUAUAAAUUUGUAUUUGAUACGUUGAUAGUGUUUUUUUUAUUCUAUAAAUAGUUUUAAAAUUUUAUCAUAUAUCUAUUUUAAAAAAAAUUUAUUUAGUUUUAAUAUUUUAUUGUACACCUAUGAUAACACUUGUCAACCCUUAAUCCUAUUUAUAAAAUCUAAAAAUUUAGUAACAAUUAACCAAAUAUUUCUCAUUAUUUAUUAAACUUAAUUAAAUAAUAGGUUAUCUAGUAUUUUUGAGUUAGCUAUCUAUUUUCUUAACCAAAUAUUUAAAUUACCAUUAUGGACCUAUGUAGUUUUUUUUUAUAUAGGUAGACAACACCAUAAAGUAAUUACAUUCUUAAAGUACUAUUAACAUAGAGAAAUGAUAUUACGCUCAGCUAUUAGUAUAUUUCUCACUGGAAUCUCUCAAAAUAAUUGUACAUUACCUAAUCCAUGUGAAGCUAUCUUGGUUAUAUGAUCAGCAAUUUUAUUUUUAGAAUCUCUCAAUUUGCUAUUAGCCAUUCCACCAAUUAAAAUUAAUUCUACUAGAAGCGCAUUGUCGCAUUUAGUAUUUUUAAUUAUAAAAAAUAAAUUUAAUGUUAAAUAAAAAUUACUAUUUAAUAUUAUAUUUCCUCUCUCCUCAUAUACAUGUUCUUCCUUUCCGAUUCCGUCAUUUUCAUCCCUUUUCUCAUUCAUCUUCAUUCAUGCAGGUUGAAAGGUUUUUUCUUUUUCUCGUUAAGCCAAUGACAUGAAAUUUGGGUUUUUAUAUUGAUGGAGGAGAACCGUUUCUGGGUUGAAAACUAUAAAUUUUGGACUUCUAAACUUGAAAAACCUAUGGCUACGCUUUGAUAGCACCAUUUGUGGAUGAGGUGUUGAAGCAAAAAUCCUUUAUUAAAAAAAGUUUGGGACUUUGAUUUUUUUUUCAAAAGAGUUCUUUUUAUUUUCUUUAAUUGUAAAAAAACAAAGAAACUGUGUUGGGGCAAGAAAAAGAAAAGCUGGAGAAGAUUGAAAGGGUCUUUGUUUAUAUGCAGAAUAUUCAAAGAAAUAAUUUGAAUCAUUUCCCAUCCAAUUUUAUAAAAAUAAUUAUUUUAACCUUCUAUUUAUUAUUUUAAUCACUUUUUAAUUUUUAAAUUUAUAAUAUUUAUCAAAUUAUUCUAAAAUAAAUAAAAAAUUUAACAUCGGUUACUUUUGCUAAAAUGGUAUACGCGCCACUUAAAUAUCACAUCAUCAAUUAAUUUUUUUUUAAAAUUUAAGUUUCAAAAUUUAUUAAAAGUGUUUUAAAAUAUUAAAAAUAAAAAAUAUUUUUUAAUAUUAAAAAAUUAAUUAAUUACUAAUGUGACAAUUAUAAAUGCACACGUUGAUUACCAUAUCAACAAUGUUACAAAAGCUCAAUGGAGGGCUAAAAUGCAAGUCUAGUGUUACUAAUCUCACAUUGCUAAUAUAUAUAAAGUACAAAGAAUUUGAAUAGACAAUUCAUUAUAACUUGAGUAAUUGAGUUGGGUGCAAUUAGAUAGUUAACUUAUUGAGUUUUACGUAUAUUUGUUAUAAUGACAACUGGGCUUAAAUUUGGUGGUGUAAAUAAUUUUUAUAUAUAAUAAUUAUUUUUAUUUUUUAAAAUAAUAAAUUUUUAUUCGCAUUUGAACGAAUUUAUUCAAAUAAUCUAUGUUAAAAUUUACAGUAUCAAAUUUUACCUAACAAAAGGAAAAGAUUAUUUAUGACCAUAUAAGUUAUUUAAGAUUCUAAAUCAGGAAUUUUUCUUUCCAAAAAUAGAUUCACGACUGUCUAUUUUUUUUAACCGAAUUUUAAAACACACACACACCCAAGUAUUUUUAAUUAAAUAUAUAUAUUUAAUAUUAUAUUUCCUCUCUCCUCAUAUUCAUAUUCUUCCUUUCCUAUUCCUUCAUUUUCAUCCCUUUUCUCAUUCAUCUUCAUUCAUGCAGGUUGAAGGUUUUCUUUUUCUCAUUAAGCAAAUGACAUGAAAUUUGGGUUUUUGUUUUGAUGGAGGAGAACCGUUUCUGGGUUGAAAACUGUGAAUUUUUGGACUUCUAAACUUGAAAAACCUAUGGCUACGCUUUGACAGCACCAUUUGCAGGAGGAGGUGUUGAAGCAAAAAUCUUUUAUAAAAAAAUGAUAGGGACUUUGAUGUUUUUCAAAAGAGUUGUUUUUUAAAAUUGUAAAAAAAACAAAGAAAACUGUGUUGGGGAAAGAAAAAAAAAAGCUGAAGAAGAUUGAAAGGUUGUUUGCUUAUAAGCACAUUGUUAAAAAAAAAAUGUUUGAAUUAUCUCCUCAUAAAAAUUAUUUUUACUUGUACGAGUUCAUAAAAUUAGUACAAAUUAUCAUCAAAAUUCAGGCUAACUUAUCAGAACUUUGUUUCAUACAUGCUCAAUCUUUUGAAUACUCAAUUGAUUAUGUUUGAUUUUUGUUUGAAGAAAAUAUUCAUCGAGUAAUGAUUAAUAUAGAUACCCAUUAACUUUAUUAUAACUAAAUCUUCUUUUAAAAAAAUAUUCACAAAAUGCAAAAAUAACUAUUAAUAAACUUUAUUGGAAAAUUAAGCAUGUGUAUAAAUAUUUAUCAAAGACAUUGCUAGAAAGCAAACCUCAUGUUUAUUUUAGUCAAUUCAACAACUGCCUCUUCAUCGAACUCGUUCCAUAUCCCUUAAUAACGUCACUUUGAUCUUCUUUAACUUUGUAACAAUCUCUUUCAUAUGAAGCCUCUCAUUUGGUAACUCUACACAACAUUCUAAGCCAACUUGCAAAAUGGAUAAGGCACAAUUCUUGACUUUUAAAUCUUCCCUUCCAAUGGUGCUCAACAACUUGGGAUCUACAACUUGAUUUCGCGAAGAUGAUAUCGACUCUAUCACCCAACUCUUCAAGCUUCUUUCUCCUGCAAACAUUUCAUCUGUGGGCUUUUUUCUUGUGAUGAUUUCCAUCAAAAGAAUACCAAAACUAUACACAUCACCUUUUGUCGAAACAAUUCCUUCCAUUCCAUAUUCUGUAUGAAUAUAAAACAACAUUAUGAAUAUUCAAAGAUAUCUUGAUAAUGAAAAUUUCCUAUAAAAUAUCUCAAACAUUAUAUGCUUGCCUGUUAUAAUUGAACUAGGAUUUACUCUAGUUGCUUCCUUAAAAAGUCACAUUCAAUGUGUUUGAAACUCAAAUGUUAACAAAUAUAUAUGAUCCCUUUUGUUAUGCACAUUCUACACUUCCAUUGAAAAUGGAAAAAUAAAUAUGGAGUUUGAUUAGAAGUAUCACCUGGUGCCAUAUAUCCAAAUGUUGCCAUUGUCAUGGUUUGUAUCAUUGAAACCUCUUCACAUAAGAGUUUCGCGAUGCCAAAAUCACUCAAAUGUGCAACCAUAUCUUCAUCUAAUAGAACAUUGUUGGGUUUUAAAUCACAGUGAAUCACGGGUGUUGCAUUGCCGUGAUGGAGAUAUUCCAAUGUAGAUGCAACAUCUAUCAUUAUGUUCAACCUUUGUAGGAUAUCCAAAUAUUGGUUGUUGGAAUACAGCCAUUUAUCAAGACUCCCAUUAGGCAUGAACUCAAGCACCAACGCUUUGAAAUUAAGAUCAUUAGAGCAACUGCUUAUUACUUUGACUAAAUUUCUGUGACGAGUGUUGCGGAGAACAUCACAUUCAACAUCAAAGCUCUUAAAAGCUCCUUCUAACUCAAACUUGAAGACCUUUACCGCAAUGAUCGUCCCAUCCGGGAGAGUCCCUUGGAAUACUGCACCAUAACUUCCAUUACCAAGCAACCUACUAUCAUUGAAUCCAUCAGUAGCUUGACGAAGCUCGUGGUAUGAAAAUCGUCUCCACGUUCCUAAAGGUAUCAUGUCUUCUUGAGUUGGCAAUUUGUCUUUCCUCCUCCUAUUUUGCAAGAUAAUGAUAAUCAGAGCCACAACCAAAAUUGUGGAGGCAAUUGGCAAAGCUACAUAUAGUAUGAGCUUAGUUUUUGCCUUGGAAUUUCUAAGAGGUCUAGUUUUGCAGUUUGGAACAUGAAGCCGAGCUGCACCACACAAGGCUUCAUUCCUCUUAAAUGAUUCGAUUGUGUAGUUUUCAAAUGAUCCUCCUUCAGGAAUUUCACCUUCAAGCCUAUUAAAAGAGACAUUGAAAUAUUUGAGAUAACGGAGUUUCUCUAAGGAUUUGGGAAUCUCUCCAAAUAGAUUAUUUCUUGACAAGUCCAAGAAUUCCAAACUCAACGAUUCAUCAAAAGACUCAGGAAUAGAACCCGUGAUUCUAUUAUUGGAUAAGGAAAAAUGAGUGAGGUCCUUGAGAUCUGCAACUCCAGUUGGGAUAUCACCUGAGAACUGAUUGUUCGACAAAUCCAAACUACUCAAAACUUUCCAUUUUCCAAUGUCAAUUGGCAGUGGACCACUCAGAGAAUUUGAAGACAAGUAUAGGAUGAGGAGAUAGUUAAGCCUUGUCAACGUUGACGGUAUUGAAGAGGAAAACAUAUUGGAGUCUAGAAAUAGUUGCCUUAAUGAAGUGAGAUCACCUAAGCAAGUAGGUAUUGGCCCAGACAAUUUGUUAUUGGUUAAGAACAAGAAAGCCAAUUUGUUUAGAUGACAUAACUCAGUUGGGAUGGAUCCCUCUAACUUAUUGUCCUUAAGAGAAAGACUUUGCAACUCUUCCAAUCCUCCAACUGUAGUAGGAAUCUGUCCUAUCAAUUUAUUGCCUCCUAGCUCAAGGCUUAUCAAGUGACUUAAGUUUCCAAUUUCACUGGGGAUGCUACCCCUGAUGUUGCAUGCAGAAGCAGAGAACUCUUCAAGAGAACUUGAGAGAUUUCCUACCACUCUUGGAAGUUCACCACUAAUAAAUGAGUUGAUCUCGAAAAAAAGGUUCUCCAAGACUCUACAGUUUGUCAAAGAAAAGAGAAAGCUCAUUCCUGAGGAAGUUAAAUUAUUAUUCGCCAGGUUGAGAAUCUUUAAAUUUCUUAGAUUUCCCAGAUUAUCAGGAAUGGACCCUGAAAAGUAAUUACUAGACAUGUCAAGAAGAGUAAGCUGAGAGGCAUUGGAAAUAUACAUUGGGAUCGAGCCGGCAAGGUGAUUGAAACCAAGAUAUAGUUCCUCCAUGUUUGGAAGGAAAAGGCCCAUGUUUGAUGGAAGAUGGCCAGAGAGCUUAUUUGUAGCCAAAGAAAUCAUCCUUAGAGUUGAAAUAUUGAACAGUUGUGGAGGAAUAGAACCAGCAAUAUUGUUAAAUUGUAAAUUCAACCAAUUUAGAUUCUUUAGGUUGCCAAUCUCUUGUGGUAUUAUACCUGCCAUAAAUUUUAUCAAACAAAAAUAUUAGACAAAUAUGAGGAAGAAAAUAGUUUAUAUAUAUGAAACAUUUGCUUAUAUUUUUUAUAAUGUGUACAAUUAUAGACAAUUAGAAUCAACAAUAUUUACAAAAAAAAAUUAAUUCACAAUAAGUUUAAAUUGAAUAUUUUAGGUUUAAAGUUGGAAUAAGUUCAAAAUGAGAAGGGAUUGUAUGAAAUUGUGAUUCCACGUCAUGAUCAGAUUUUUCCUCCUAUUUUUAGCUUUUUCUUCUUGAAAAAAUUAAAAUCUAACUAAAAAAAGUUGAAAAUCAGGAGGAAAAAUCUGAUUUAUCAUUCUCCUAUUGGAAAGGAAUAAAAAUGACGUGGAAUCACAGUUUUAUACAAUCACUUCUCGUUCAAGAUAUAGAAAAUAAUGAUGAAAUAAAUGAUAAAGAACAAACAUUCAUAAGUCAAAUAAAAUAAUUAAGAACAUAAAAAUAAAUCAAAUAUGAUUUUUGGUUCCUUGAAGUUUUGUUUGGCCUCAACAGGGAUAAACGUAAAUAAUGGACUUAAAAAAAAAAGAAAUAUACUAAUUGCAAUAACUAUGAAAAAUUUUAUAAUUAUUGUAGAAUAAUCAAAACACAGAAAGCGGUUGAGCAAAAACAAAGUUCAAAUUAAUAAAAAGCUAUCGGUAAAAGUUGCAAAUUAAUAAAAAUAAUUUAGCUCUUUCUUAUACAUUCACCUGUAAAAUUGCUAUGGGAACAAUCAAACUCCAUAAGAAGAGUUAAAUUCACAAUUUGUUUAGGAAUUUCACCUGCAAUUAUAAAAUUCACAUUUCAAAUUCAAAAUUCAUCUCCUAGCAACGAUUAUAAGAAUAAAAUUAAGGUAUAAUGACUUGUUUAGCUCUUCAAUUUUAUUAAAAAGAAUCAUUUUAGUCUUUCAUUUAAUUUUUCAUCUCUUUUAGCUCUUAAACUUGCGAUGUUUGUCAAAUCAUCCCAAAAUGAAUUGAAAAUUCCAUGUGAUUGCCACAUCAACAAUUAGUUUUUUAAAUUUUAAAAAAUUCUAUUUUAUUGCUAACGUGUCAGCAAAGUAAACAAACAUUAACUUUUUCAUACAUUUUUUUGGGCUGAUAUAACAAAUAAUACAAGUUCAAGAGCUAAAAGAAAAGGAAAAUUAAAUAAAUAGUUAGAAUGACUUUUUUUUAUAAAGUUGAAGGGCUAAAUAAAUAAUUAUUCCUAAAGUAAAUAAAGCACGUUAGCAAGGUAUUUCACACAUACACACUUCCAAGCCAAGUUGGAACUAAAAGUAUAUUUCUCUCAUCAUUUUCAUGUAGUUUAUUCUUCAAUGUUCUUUUGAAAAAUUUCAACUAUGUAUUCGUUUAAUAAAUAAAUUUAUAUUUUCAAUCUCAAUAGAAGAUUGAUCUAAAUUAUUAUAGUCAUUACCUUAAUUUCAUUAAAAAAAAAUCGUUCCUUGCAUCUCAAAGUACUUAAAAAAAAGUAAACACUUCAAAAGGUUUUAAAAAUGGUUAGCAUAUGUUACCAUCAAAGUGGUUCCGACUGUUAGAAUUGUGUGACCCAAAUUCUAAGAGAUUGCUUGCAAGUCAAGUUAAACAAAAAUAUAUUUUCUUUCUAGAAGAUUUAGUAUUUAUUAGUAUAAAUAUAUUUAGCAUUUAUUAGUAUAGUUUAUUUGACUUGCUAAUUUAGCCUAUAAAUAGGCUCCUUUACAAUCUUAGAAUUAGAGAGACACCCAUUAGAUUAGAACUCAUAACACAUUCAGAGAAUUUUGUGUUUACGUUUGAGGGUUCUUUGUUUUUCGGGUUUUCGGGGUUUAGUUUUUAUCUCCAUCUUUUGUACUCUUCAUUUUUUUGCCAUUAUAGUAAAAUUAUCUUUGCCCGUAGUUUUUUAUCCUCUUUUGAGGGGUUUUCCACGUUAAAUUUGUGUGUUCAUCUUCUCAAUUUCUUCUACUAUUUUUACUUGUUCGUUGCUUAAUCGGGACGAUCCUAACAAGUGGUAUCAGAGCUAGUUUAACUUUCAUAGAUCAGCCCGGUCAGAGAUGGCAGCAACAAGGUUUGAAAUUGAGAAGUUCGAUGGUGAGACAAAUUUCAAUCUGUGGCAAGUUCGGAUGAUGGCAAUUCUAGUUCAAAAUGGCUUGAAAAAGGUUGUUACAGAGAAAAAGCUUGAGAAUCUAAAUCAAACAGAAUGGGAAGAGCUUGAUGAAAAGGCCUUGUCUGCAAUCCAGUUGUGCCUCGCGAAUACAGUAUUGCAGGAGGUAUUGAUGGAGAAUACCUCAUUCGCCUUGUGGAAAAGGUUAGAAACUCUUUAUGCGACUAAGUCUCUGGCUAACCGUUUAGUGUUGAAACAACAUCUAUUUACGUUUCGCAUGAACGAAUGUGAGCUUCUUAAAGAUCACAUCAGUCAAUUCAUUACUCUUUUAAAUGAUUUAAAGAACGUUGAGGUUCAUAUUAACGAUGAAGAUCAAGCUAUGCUAUUAUUGUGCUCUUUACCCUCUUCAUACAAGUCUUUCAGGGAGACCCUGAUUUAUGGCAGAGACAAACUCUCGUUCGAAGAUGUGAAGGGUUAUUUGUUGAGUAGAGACAAACUCGACAAUGAGUUUGAUUUGAAUAGCAAAGAAGAUAGACAAGCUUCCGUUUUGGUAGCAUCAAAGAAACGAGACAAAAUGUGUUGCUAUUGCAAAAAGUUAGGUCACGUCAAAGCAAAUUGUUAUAAACUGCGAAAUAAAAGAGCUGCUGAGAGUAACGAGGAAGAUGUAGCUGGUGCUAAUUUGGUCGAUGAAGGCGGUGAUGAUUUCUUGUUAGUGUCAACGAGCGAUAACUCCAAGCUUACGUCUGAGUGGAUCCUAGAUUCAGGAUGUUCUUUCCACAUGUGUCCCAAUAGAGAAUGGUUCUCCACAUACAGUUCAGUUGAAGGUGGAGUUGUGCACAUGGGAAACGAUUCAUCUAGUAAAAUAAUCGGUAAUGGUACUGUUAAAAUUAGGAUACACGAUGGGACGAUUAGGACACUCUCAGAUGUCAGGUAUGUACCUGAUUUACGAAAGAAUCUCAUCUCCUUGAGUAUUUUAGACUUGAAAGGAUGCAGAAUCAACAUCGAGUCGAGCGACAUUAAAGUAUCUCGUGGAGCUCUCGUUUUGUUAAAAGGUAAAAGAACCGGCAGUCUUUAUAUUCUGGAAGGUUUUACAGUGACCGGUGAAAUCGGACGUCCCUCAUCCGUUACAGAGUCAAAGUCAACUCAUUUGAAGCGGAGGCAACUUGGUCAUAGGAGGGAAAAAGGUAUGACCGUUUCGUUGAAGAGAGGUUCUCUUUUGGAUGCAGGUUUUGAAAAGUUAGGGCACUGUAUUCGUGAAAUUCAGACCCGGGUUAGUUUUGAUUUGGCAGUGCACAAGUCAAAGGCUAGAAGUCUUCCAGCUUCUAAGCAUAGAUUCGACUCAGUUAAUUCCCUGCAUAGUUCAAGAUAGGCCCGUGGCGGGUUUUGGCAAAGAUGGCAUUGAAAGAAUUUGUGUCAAGAUGGAGAUUGUUAGAAUUGUGUGACCCAAAUUCUAAGAGAUUGCUUGCAAGUCAAGUUAAACAAAAAUAUAUUUUCUUUCUAGAAGAUUUAGUAUUUAUUAGUAUAAUAUAUUUAGCAUUUAUUAGUAUAGUUUAUUUGACUUGCUAAUUUAGCCUAUAAAUAGACUCCUUUACAAUCUUAGAAUUAGAGAGACACCCAUUAGAUUAGAACUCAUAACACAUUCAGAGAAUUUUGUGUUUACGUUUGAGGGUUCUUUGUUUUUCGAGUUUUCGGGGUUUAGUUUUUAUCUCCAUCUUUUGUACUCUUCAUUCUUUUGCCAUUAUAGUAAAAUUAUCUUUGCCCGUAGUUUUUUAUCCUCUUUUGAGGGGUUUUUCCACGUUAAAUUUGUGUGUUCAUCUUCUCAAUUUCUUUUACUAUUUUUACUUGUUCGUUGCUUAAUCGGGACGAUCCUAACACCGACCAAUAUAGAUGUAUUGAAGCAUACUCAAAUUCCCAAUUUCUAUUGGUAGGCUCCCCUCCAUUUGGUUAUACGCUAAAGAUAACAUUUGUAACUCUUUGCACUUGAAUAGACUGGCAGGAAUUCUACCAGAAAGCAGGUUACGACUCCAGUACAAUCCUUUCAAAUUUGGAAGAUGAUCAAACAUAUCUUUUGGGAUAUGACCAGUGAGAUUAUUGGAGGAGAAAUGGAUGACUUCUAGCAAAAGUAAAUCACGUGGAACAAAGGGUAUGGAACCAGAAAGCAUAUUGUAGCUUAGAUAUAUUUCUUGCAACGAAGAGAUAUUGAAGAUGGUGGAGGGAAUUGAACCUGAAAUCUGGUUUCCAGACAAAUACAAGACCUCUAGCUUUGACAAAUAGGCUAAAGAGAAUGGAAUAACACCUUUGAAGUUGUUUUGGUCCAAAAACAACCUUCGAAGUUCAGUUAAUGAUCCCAACCAUGAUGGGAUUUCUCCAUUGAAGGAGUUGUUACCAAAGCUUAAAUAUUUCAGCCGUCGCAAAUUGGAUAACUGGACAGGUAAUCCGCCAUAGAAACUAUUGUUUGUGACAUGAAGAAGAGAAAGGAAUGAUAAAUUUCCCAAGUGAGGUGGAAGGGUG
This 29339-nucleotide long non-coding RNA is filed under the name Gossypium barbadense (sea-island cotton). Its description in RNAcentral is "long non-coding RNA (GBAR_LNC013184)". The record is from RNAcentral. Lineage: Eukaryota; Viridiplantae; Streptophyta; Magnoliopsida; Malvales; Malvaceae.